GGCCAUCGUAGUCUGCAAAUUCUCGUUAGAUUCUCGUUUAUAGUGACGAGACUUUGCCGCGACUUGAAUGUGGCGGGAUUCUUGAAGAUCAACAAUUGAUGUCAAUCGAUGAAAAUGUCGAGUUGGGAUGAGUUACACUCUGCAUUUGGUGCAGAUGAAACUAUAAACUUUGGACCCCGUUAUGAGACUGGUACUGCUCUGUACCAAGUUAAUACAUUUGCGACACUAUCAUCCGGCAGCAAUGAGGAUAGUGAAUCAUAUCCUCACGUGGUGUCUGAAGAGUUGGGUGAUUUAUUUUGUGUUGCUGUCAACAACAAUUUGUUUCUCUUUGUGGACUGCCAGUUUACCACGUCUCUGAAGUUUGACGUCUUCGUUGAUGCUUUGAGAUAUUGUCCCGAUGGUUCUUUUCUGAUUGUUGGGGACAAAAAAGGUAUUAUCUACAUUGUCGACACAGACAGCUCGGAGAUCAUCUUUACAUUUAACCUUCUAGCUGGUAAGAAGAUAUCUGGAGAUCAUGCUUUUAGAAAAAUAAUAGUAAAAGAAAAUACAGACUGUCAAUGGAACCUGCUUAUUUUAUUAUCUACCGGUGAACUGUUGAUCUUUAAAGACCUCAACAAAGAUUUCUUUGCUUCUGGAGAAGACCUUGCAAGCAAACUUUACAAGAAAUUGGCUUUCCGUUCUGAAACCUCUGAAAUACAUCAAAAUGGUGCCACAGAUGUAAUUGUAGCAAAUAAGAAUAUUAUUACAGCAGGCAAUGGUACAACUGUUUUAGCCAGAUGGAUUUGGAAAGACGACAAAUUGAAAAUAACUGACGAAGUGGAAAAUGCACUGCUAAACAAUGUUGGUAUUAAGUCUAUUCAGACAACGUUGAAUGGGAAAUAUCUCUUCGUUCUUGAUAAAAAUGAAACUCUGAGCCUGUGGGAUGCCACUUCUUUGAUUCUUUUAGAAACUUUCUCAAACUUGGCUGUGAAAGGAUUCAACAUUCUUGAUACAAGUACUUUAUCAAGCUCAAGCCUCAAAAAUAUUCGACUUGUUAUACUGAAGAAAGAGAAACCCGGGGAAACGUUUCUAGAAGUACGACAGCUGCCUGAUUUUGAAUGUAUCUACCAAUUAAAACUAGGUGCAGUCGUUGAGCUCACUCAAUCAAAUCCUACCCAGGAGAAUUUGAAUAUUGUCGAAGGCUGUACAGAUCUGAUAAGUCCUGAGAGUUUUGAAUCCUUGCGAUUUCGUGUCAUAACAGAAAGUGAUGCAGAAACGCGGUUUCAGACUUUACUUCGUAAGAUGCGCUUUGAAGAAGCCAAGAAUUUUGCUGAACAGUAUGGCCUUGACAUACAGUCUCUCCACAAAGCUCAUUUAAGGCAUAUUUUAUAUAUGCUGUCUCCAUGGAGAGAAGACACUGUUGACAAUAAAAAAGAACUAACGAAUAAACUAUGGCUCCUUCUCAAGCUUGUUAAAGAUGACCAUUUUGUUGUGCAACAUUGCCUCUCUACAAGUUUGACCACUUUCUCAGACACACACAAAUUACUAGAGUACAUCAAGUUACGGUUGACCAACAAAGCAGCCAACGAAAAGACAGAAUUAGACAACACUCUCUUAAAUAAAGUGAAGCAGGUGCUCUUUCGUUUCUACACUUUCUGUUUUGCACUUGGUCGUAAAUAUUACAAAGCAGAAGUAUGGGAAGAGUUCAAGAAGGCCGAUUUCUUUCACAAAAUAAUCAACUCUUUCCGUGACAAAUUACUUCAUGUUGCAUUUACAAUUUGGAGAAGGCACCAUCAUGAAAUUGUGAAGCUGCAUUCUAUUGACUCCCUGGAACUGUUGCUAAACAGUGUACCACUCCAUGUCAGCAUCACCCAGCUGCAGGCAUGGUUACUGGAAGAUUUCAUCCCGUACGUUAUCAGACUGAUGCCACGUAGUUUGAAUGUGCUCACGUCCUGGAUCAUCCUGAAAAUAAAAAACAUGGAAAUUUAUGAGAAGGCUGAAUGGCCAUCAAAUGCUCUGUGUGUGAUGGAAACUUUCUACAAGAAGUUUACCAGUUUGUUAAACGUGUCCUCUGACCAGUACAUGUCAACACCUUCUGAGACAGCUCUAAAGACAUACACCAACGUCAGGAUAACUUUAACCCCGCUGAUCAACUUAAUCACUGUGUACCGCCAGCUGGAAAGCCUUUAUACCAAGUACAACUUUAAAAUGACAGCUGCAGGUUUUGCACAGGAAACUACUGAGUCGGUUGUCUUUCGGAUGCUGGAUCGCUUGGUGGCCAUAGAAUUGAUGGACAAAACCCUCAAGGAAGUUAUCCACCCGUAUAUAAAAGAAUACCAACUCAAUGAGGAUGACAUAUUCUGCAAAUAUAUUAGAGAUCUUCUAGAACGAACUCACUGCGUCAACUAUCUUGGCCAUGCACAUUGGGAAUCGAAAGCUUUGGCUGUCAUCGGUUAUAUUUCUGAUGUAAAAUUAAAGAUUUCUGCUGUGCUGGAAGUCAUUAAAUGGGCACCAAUUCCAUGGUCUGAUGGUAUUCGCACACUAGUAGACAAUACUACCAAACUAAGGCAACCAGAAGUAGAGUCCAUUAAAAUACAUGCCAAGCUUGUGGAGCUGAAGUUGCGUCUUGCAAGAUAUGAUCUGAAAGGAAUCGAUGUUCCCACUCCAAACACAGAAGAAGCUCUGCAAUUCGCCAAAUACAUUCUCCGCAGAGAUCUGCCUGAAAGUAUGGAUGAUGCUCUACAUAUUUUGAAACCAGCUGACAACUGUAUGAAAAGAGAGCUCUAUGUUUUCCGCUUGAGACAGUAUAUGGUGAAAGAUAAGUUGAAAGAAUGCUUUGAUCUGCUGAAGUCUCUGGAACCAGAAUUGUCCAAAUCUUGUGCUCAACGGCUCUUGGACUACUGUAUUAUUGAUUUGGAUGAAGAACCGAUUUUUGAUGAGGCGAAGACAAACCAAAGCAAAAAAUUGGCCAUUGCAACUGGAAAAUGUUUGAUUGAAUGCCUAAAACUGCUCACAACAGAUUUCCUUGAAACGGAGACUCUUGCUGAGCUUAAAAAAGAUUUCGGGCAUCUACAAUCUCUGCAAGUUGAGUUUCACUUGUAUCCCUCCUUUCACAAAUUUCAAAAGCCUCAUUUCAGAGAGAUGAUAUUGUGGGAUUACAUCAACACAACUCUACCAGAAUUUAACAUGGAACCUGAAAUGGAAUGCAGGUUGUGCAGACUUGCUGAUAUCUUGAAAAUUCCUCAAAUAGACUUCCUUUCCCAAAUGAUCAUGAAGGCAUUUCAGGGGAAAAAUAAUAAAGUCUUCCUUCACCUAUGCAAGAAACUUCUAGAGUGUGAAGUCUGUCCUAUAACAGCCGAGACCCUUUAUGAUCUGUGCAUGUACCUACUGGAAAACUUAGCUGACACUGAAUCUGAUGGAGAGGAUUUUGAAAAAGAGAAUGUGCAGGAUGAGUACAAUUUACCUGCCAUGAUUUACAGACUAAUCAGCUUAGCUCUAACUUACUGCCAUCCAACUUCUCUCACCAAAUUCGUCCACUUAGCAAAGACUGCCCGACUUGCUGCAGCAGCAAUUCAACAAACCUACAUGGUUGAGGACAUGUCUCUACCACAUGCCUUGAAUAAAGACAAUGCUGCCACCUCAGACUAUUGCAAAUGGAGUUUAAUUCCUGAGUUUAAAGAAAAUUGUUUCAUUAUGGAGUCAUCUGCCCUUGUCCCUUUGAUUGCAAAUUCUGUUCAACUUGAUCCACUUCUAAAGAAGAGAUUCAUUCCCCCUACACCUCCUGCUAGUGACACCGAGUCCGCAGAGGCUGCUGAUAAUUAUAUGAAAGAGUACUACAGUAAGGUGCUACAAGAGUAUACCAAUACAAUACCACCGUUAGUGGACUAUCUCAAACUUAACCGCAACUUGGAACUUGUCUACCAAUAUUCUAUGCAUUCCUUCUUUACUAUUGUGGAAUAUUCCGUCUGCUACACUGCUGAUGUCACGUUAAUUAAGCAGGGGAGUCAUGAUAUCAAAGACAUAAUGAUGAAAUAUCUAAACCAAAUCAAAGGCACAAGUCAACAUAAGGAAUUGGUGAUCCAUCUCCUUCAGAAGGUGUUCAGCCAACGUAAUGUGGACCACAGGUACGCUCUUGGUUUGGCCUGGAGUCUCCCGAAGAAUAUUUUGAGUGUUUUGAAGAAAAUGCGAAAAGAUUUCAAUUACCGAGGACAAAUGGCCAUGGCUAAAGUAGGAAAUGCUUUGGCUGUCCUUCACAAAGAACAUGAUGAGAUUGCAAAGUGUACAGAACUUGAAACCAGUGCGUACUGGGGGUAUCAGCUUGGAAAAUACAAGAUAUGUUUCAAAGAUGCGUUCCAUGGCCCACUAAAUGAGAAAUACAAAGUUCUACAGCAAAUGGUAGGCUGCAGUGCCAUUGAUACUGAAGUCAUCAAAAAGUUCUGCAAAGAUUUCGAAAUUGAGGAAACUGAUGGCUUGCUGUUGUCCUUGAAAUAUUUAAUCAAGAACAUUUCUGCCUCCUAUACACAGUUGUCUACCUUCAGCGCUUCCCAUCAUCACCACCAGCUGACAAGAGUGCUUAAAAUUAUACGAAGCGUGAAAUCAAAAUCAAGACUUUUUAAAGAACUCACACAAUUGAUUAAUUUGGUCAAUACGUAUGACUACGAAACUCUGUCGCUGGUUCUUGAUGAAGCCUUCAAGAUUGAGGAGAAUUCCUUCCUUGAUAAGUGUAAAAAAGUGCUGGACUGGUUGAAGAAUUACAAGAGAGCAGCUCCCAUUUCUGACUAUGAACUGCAUUUCUGCACAGAAGGAAUUCAGGAGAAUCUUCAAUAUGUUAUUGAGUGCUUACCAUCAAGCAGUGCAACAAGACUGGCCUUUCACUCCCUCUUUGGUGAACCUUGGCAUAUUAUUUCCAAGGAACUUGAUGUCAAUAACGUUCAUGAAUGGUUACUUCUGUCACACAUCCUGAAGCUCUCCCCAGAUCAAUUGCAUGCAGUUGCCCUUCAAAACACCAUCAAGGUUUAUGUGUCAUCUUUAGGGGACAGCAAAAAUGCCAAUACUCUCAAGGAGAAGAGUAGAUGGGAUCCUGAUGAAAUAAACAAAGACAUGAUGGACACAGUUAAAAAUAUUCUUACAAAAAUUCAAGACUUGGAAUCCACCUCAGCCCUAGCUACCUACAUCAUGAAAGAACUGCCUAUUGGGGCUGAGAAAGUAUUGGCUCUCAAGUUCUGUGUUUCUUUUACUGAGGAAUGGCUUCAGGCAGAAAAAGAUCCCUCAAAUUACAAGAAGGCCAAAACUGCUUACCUCAAAUUUAAGAGUCUCUAUGAAAGAUUAGCCAAUAAACAAGUGUUGUUCCUCUACAAACUGGCCACCCCUGAAUUACUUGAUUUGUGCUGUGAACCUGAGAAGUUGAUAACUGAACUCUAUCAACAUCCAUCGAUUUUGGACUCUACUUUACCUGAGCAUCUACGUCCUGAUAUCAACGGCAUGGCAGAACAGAUAGCAUCCAUCCACCAGUUGACCAUUGAAGAUCUGAAGGUCAGUUUAGUCUGUGAAUGGUUAGAAACUAACAAGACCGAAGAUGUUGAUAUGACAAUGACACUUGGUUUUGGUAACAUUCAUCUCCUGGAACACGACAACAAACAACUAGACGGUGACAAUUUUAAACGUGUUGCAUACAUCCUCAGGAGUGGAGACAUAAAGCACAAUAUAGCCUUUCUACUUGGUUACUCUGGAAAGCCUAAAAACUCAGUAUCAAUGUCAAGUGUGUGCCAACUUAAGGCCCUCCUCUGUAUGUUUGACGUGGCAUCAAUAGAGGAAAUUACCAAAACCACAUCCAUGACUCUUGAAGAGAUCAGGAGAUUAAUUCAAAACCAGCUGUAUAUUGUCAACCUGGAGAAAUUGAAUAUUGGCAUGACUCCCAAGGGUUUUGAAGACUGCAACAAGGAAAAACUUGCUAAAAGCAUUUGGAAGAAUCAGAGCAAUGGCAAAAUGGCUCAGGAAGCGGCCAUUAUAGUUAGUUCCUUGUGCUUUGAUUACAAAAUUUACAGCUUUACUAUGUGGGAAGCUAUCCUUGCCAAAAUGAAAAAUCUAAAUAUGAUGAAAGAGCUUGAAUAUAUUCUACUGCGUAUUAUUGAGAUCCCAUCACUUGAUGUGCUACCAUCGUUGCCUUCAGCCUGGCAAACCAUCAUUGUUUCCAUUUUGAAUAAAUCCUCUGUUAAUACUGAUGAGGAACGAGAUGAAUGCCUACAUGCUUUCAAUCUAAUUCAAAGAUGUCCUGAUGUCCUGUCUUUGGACCUUGAUCUACUUGCCAAGCAUUUCCACCGUUUAGGGCUUCCUGUCUGCGCCAUUUCUUGCCUCCUCAUGUCGGCUGUCCUUAACAACAAAUUACUUCAGAGCAUUCUUUCUAUUGGUGCCAAGAAGCUGUUCGAUUCUUUCCUAUUAACAAGAACCAAAUGUAUUGCUUCUGCCAUUUCUUAUGAGGUCAUGCUGUUGAUUUUCCAGUUAAUAAUGGAAGAAAACUUGAGUCACAUUGUGGAGAAGUCUCCUUAUAAAGAUGCCUAUCAUGAAUACGUCCAACUGAAUCAGAAUGGUCUGGAGAAUGGCAUAAGUCAUUGAAGGCUUUCUUGAGUGAAGUUUGUCUUGUCUCUCGUCUUUCAACAGGCGUUUGUAUGUUUUGUUAGAACAAGUGUGUUGGUGUAUGUGUAAUGUAUUUCCUAUAAGAACAAGUUGAAGAAAUUGGAUCAAAUUUGAACCAAGAAUCUCUGGUUGGUGUGCAUGUACUGAUUAUGUAUAUAUGUGUGUGUAUGUGUAUAUAUGUCAGUAUCUUUUGAACUGCUCAGUAGGGGGAACAUAAACUAACCAGCACCAAUUCUCAGUCCAUUACCAUUAAUAUUGCUGUAAUUAAGAGUUCCAAACAGUUCAUCUUCAAGGUUUGUGAUGUCAAGGGAUGAGUGAUGGGGAGAAAGUCUGAGAGAAGUAUGUGCCUUCAUAUUUGUUUUGUAUCCCCUGUCAAUUAUUCCAACAGAGAGAAAUCAAAUCUCUUAUCUUUCCUUUCCCUUUUUCUUAUCAUCUCAACCCUGAAGAGUUUCUUUGAAACAUCAGAAAUUCCAUUUUCUGAGGUAAUAUUAUUUUACUUUUCCUAUCUAUGUGUGCAUAAGCAUGUGUGUGUGUGACCCUUUCCCCCUCCCCUUCUUUAUAUUCUCAUUAUUAUAUCUGCCUGUCAAAUCUGAUUCUUGUUUCUGUAUCUGCUUGUCAGUCUCCCUUGAGCGGAAUUGUUUAAAAACCUACUUUUCUCAUUUUCCUUUGAAGAACUGUCAGAGUGAAAACUGGUUGGAAAUCAAUGUAAAAAUAUUUAAUAUAUCUGAAUAAAAUAUGAAAUCUAUUA
RNAcentral lists this unclassified non-coding RNA (7360 nucleotides) under Octopus sinensis (East Asian common octopus). RNAcentral describes it as "kinetochore-associated protein 1, transcript variant X1". Lineage: Eukaryota; Metazoa; Mollusca; Cephalopoda; Octopoda; Octopodidae. The record is from RNAcentral.